This 253-nucleotide ribosomal RNA is filed under the name uncultured bacterium. RNAcentral describes it as "partial 16S ribosomal RNA". It matches the Rfam family "Bacterial small subunit ribosomal RNA", at positions 524 to 776 of the family's 1533-position model. The record is from RNAcentral.
UACGUAGGGGGCAAGCGUUGUCCGGAUUUAUUGGGCGUAAAGAGCGUGUAGGCGGCCAAGCAGGUCAGCUGUGAAAACUCGAGGCUCAACCUCGAGACGUCGGUUGAAACCGCUUGGCUAGAGUCCGGAAGAGGAGAGUGGAAUUCCCGGUGUAGCGGUGAAAUGCGCAGAUAUCGGGAGGAACACCAGUGGCGAAGGCGGCGACCUGGGCCAAUAUUGACGCUGAGGUGCGAAAGCGUGGGGAGCAAACAGG